AGGAUGAACGCUGGCGGCGUGCUUAACACAUGCAAGUCGAACGCUGAAGCUCUCAGCUUGCGUGGGGGUGGAUGAGUGGCGAACGGGUGAGUAUCACGUGAGGAACCUGCCCUGAACUCUGGGAUAAGCCUGGGAAACUGGGUCUAAUACUGGAUAGGACUGAUCAUCGCAUGGUGGUUGGUGGAAAGCUUUUUGCGGUUUGGGAUGGUCUCCCGGCCUAUCAGCUUGUUGGUGGGGUAUGGCCUACCAAGGCGGUGACGGGUAGCCGGCCUGAGAGGGUGACCGGCCACACUGGGACUGAGACACGGCCCAGACUCCUACGGGAGGCAGCAGUGGGGGAUAUUGCACAAUGGGGGAAACCCUGAAUGCAGCGACGCCGCGUGAGGGAUGACGGCCUUCGGGUUGUAAACCUCUUUCAGCUGGGAAGAAGCCCUUUUUGGGUGACGGUACCUUCAGAAGAAGCACCGGCUAACUACGUGCCAGCCGCCGC
RNAcentral lists this ribosomal RNA (490 nucleotides) under uncultured bacterium. RNAcentral describes it as "bacterial SSU rRNA". It matches the Rfam family "Bacterial small subunit ribosomal RNA", at positions 26 to 518 of the family's 1533-position model. The record is from RNAcentral.